CCUACGGGUGGCAGCAGUGAGGAAUAUUGGUCAAUGGGCGUAAGCCUGAACCAGCCAAGUCGCGUGAGGGAUGAAGGUUCUAUGGAUCGUAAACCUCUUUUAUAAGGGAAUAAAGUGUGGGACGUGUCCUGUUUUGUAUGUACCUUAUGAAUAAGGAUCGGCCAACUCCGUGCCAGCAGCCGCGGUAAUACGGAGGAUCCGAGCGUUAUCCGGAUUUAUUGGGUUUAAAGGGUGCGUAGGCGGCCUUUUAAGUCAGCGGUGAAAGUCCGUGGCUCAACCAUAGAAUUGCCGUUGAAACUGGGAGGCUUGAGUAUGUUUGAGGCAGGCGGAAUGCGUGGUGUAGCGGUGAAAUGCUUAGAUAUCACGCGGAACCCCGAUUGCGAAGGCAGCCUGCCAAGCCAUGACUGACGCUGAUGCGCGAAAGCGUGGGGAUCAAACAGGAUUAGAUACCCCUGUAGUC
This 460-nucleotide ribosomal RNA is filed under the name uncultured bacterium. RNAcentral describes it as "partial 16S ribosomal RNA". It matches the Rfam family "Bacterial small subunit ribosomal RNA", at positions 338 to 795 of the family's 1533-position model. The record is from RNAcentral.